GAAAGGCGUAGAAACAUGGUGCAACAUCAUAUAAACUUGUCAAGUCUCUCUCACAACCGUACCAAUACAUAUACGAUUCAGGGUGCAUUCAAUACAGCUUUUUUGGCUGAAAUUUUCAGUUUAGCUAUAUUUGUAUUAAUAAGAUUUAUAAUGGGCACUCAUUAAGGUUACAAAGUAGAAGUUUUGUAUGGAGAACAAAAGAGAUUCAUGUUUCCAAUGCAUUAACUAAAUCAAAAGGUUGAACAUUUUGUUUUUCCUUAGUAAAGAGCUGUCAUUAGCAGAAUUCUUGUAUAAAGUAAUCAAAAUUCCAAAUGAAUCAAUUUCCAACUUUUUGGGAAAAGCUAAACAGAGUAGUUUCUAAUUACAAAUCAAUCUACCGCUUUUUUUUUCAACUUAUAAAGAAAUCAAGUUUCGAAUUAUUAAAAUAAAUCUGUUUCAUAAAUUCCAAUAUGCAAGCCAAAGGUAAAGGACUUAGACAUAUCAACUGAACAUAUGGCAUCAAUCUCUGACCCAAAAAAAAGGCUGAAUAGAUGUAUUUGCUUGGCGCAAGCAACAUUUUGAAGUGCACAACUUUUCUUACAUGCAUAACACCAGGAUCAUGAAAGCACGGCUGAAAAUUGAAGUCAAAGGACUCUAUUUUUUCAUAGGAUACCUCCUCCUUUUGUACUCCAUCGUUUUAUACUAAAAAAAAGAAUUAGUUUUGACUAAUUGAAAACAAAUAUCAGGCUAAACAACAAGAAAUACAUCAAUUACCAUAACAGUGCAGGCUUGGGGGGAGAGGAUGGAGAAGCUAAUGCCAAACAGGAUAAGAAAGUUGUGGAAGAUAAGGUGUUAUAAAACCAUUUCAUCGAGGGGAUAACAAAAACAGUGUGUCCGAGAAAUAGUGGGUUCAGAAAUUUCAUUCACUCUGCUGGCCUGGAAGAGUAGGAUAAGGGAAGAGAGAAUCUUCAGAAUUUGGGAAGCGAGGCCUAUAUGUAGUGUACGAGAGGGGCAUGCAGGAAGGAAUUCAAUUGAGAGUUGGUACACUGGGAGAGAAUCGAGCUAAUUGAAAGCUAAAGCUUUUUCCUUUUUGGGCAUUGUUUUUGUAAAUUCCUUCAAGUAGCCACUACUGUUAUUACCUUGAUAUCAAGUCUGCAUUCAGUAAUACAGGAUUUUGUUUCCUUCAUAUUCUCAGGAUUCCAGUUUCUAUAAACUCAAAACAGGAUUCCUCCAAGGAACAUUGGGACCCUAAAGCUCCUGAUCUUCAAAAGAAGCAGGAAACGAUGAAGGAGGAUAGAAACGUUGAGGAGGAAAAAGAGAAUAAAGAUUUCGAGGAGGAUGAAGAUGUUGAAGUCAAGGUGGUGGUGACUAUGACAGUGUCCAGACAUCAGAUCUUGUUCAGAACUAGAGGAUGAUCAAAAGAAAAAAAAAACAAAUAUAUUCGAUGGGAGGAAACAAAUAAUGUGCCAUUGUAGGUGACCGACUGGAGGUGAAGGCAGAAAAAUGAGUCGAAAGCCAAUGAAAUUUAUUCAGAACUUGAUGAAGUUGAAGGAGCAAGAUAAAGAACCCUAAAGAAGCACAAAGGGUUGAUGAUGAGGUGGAAUAUAAGAAAGAUGGUAUUGGUGCUAAAUGAGGAGCAAGGCAGACAAUAGCCAGUGAAGAACAGAGGUCUAGCAAGGAUUAGACAGGAGAUAAAUAUUUAAGGUUUAUUCAGAAAUGAUUUAGUGUGUUUUACAAGAGUACUUUGUCUUCAGAUAAUAUCUUAAAUUAUUUUCUUUUUCACAUCAA
This is a non-coding RNA of Arachis ipaensis, 1767 nucleotides long. NCBI's taxonomy places the organism in Eukaryota, Viridiplantae, Streptophyta, Magnoliopsida, Fabales, Fabaceae. The record is from RefSeq and is a predicted model, not a curated record.